GUCGGCUGCGCGCUGCUCAUCCACGGCGGCGCCGCCACCACCUACUGCUAUUCUCCCCUGAUGCGCUACACGGAUUGUUCUGUUGUGAUGGUUGAGGUGGAGGUGCUAUGCUGGACUACUUCCUCUCCAUCUCUAAUCGCUUCCCGUCUACAUUCUUUUAUAUAUAACUUCCGGUCAGAUCUCUAGCCGCCAGACCCUAACCAAGGAUGGGAGUAGUGUGAGCGUAUUUGCAAUUUUGCUUCGCUGCCUGUAAACGCUCAACUCAAUGCACUAGGAAGAAUCAUAUCUUUUUUUGCCGUAGUAUCUGGGGAUGUUUUGGGAAUAGAACAAGAAUUGAUUGUUUCUUACUUUUCAUUCCAGCAAUUCUCCUGUACAAAUAAGAUAUAACCACUGAGUUUACAAUGACAGCAAAAUAGGCUGCAUUAUUUAGAUUAACAUAUAAUUGUGAAUUGGUUCUAGUUAAAAAUGUAAAGUAUUAGUUCCUUUGGGGCAGUUAAGUUUGAUUGGAUAAUCUGAUUUUACUGAUAGAUGGUAAAAAAAGCAUGUUUUUCUUUGUUUAAUAUUCACCCUGGUAUCUCGAGUGCCUUUUAACCAGAAUUUGGACACAGGAUAUUAUUUGUCCUUUUCCACUUAUUUUUUCAACAAUGGGUGUUGAUAUAUAUGGUCAAGGUUUACUAGAAUAGCACACUGAUAUAUACCAACAAUAUGUAACUUGGGAUUAAGUUUGGAGAAAAUACAACACCUGGGUGGUCCAGGUAGCUUGUUAGUAGUUACCACUGUAAUGUAUUCGUUGCAUAGCCUGAAGCUUUUUAUUCUUUGGCAUUCUGGUUUAGUGUUGAUUAGACUAGGAAAUCAAGAUGUCAAUAUACAUAAAGGCAUGAUUUUCAAACUCUGCUGGCCUUUUAGGAUUAUGAUACAUUGAAACAGAGGAUAAUGCCUGCCCUUGAUAUAUUUUCUUCUCUCCUACGUGUUGUCUCCUAAUUUUUGCUACCUAUUCCAGCUUCGUAUGGAACUUCAUUGUACUUGAUUCUGUGGUGGAUCAGCUUGUUUUAGAAGAGUUGGUUAGACAGAAAUUCUCCAAGCUAGGUUUGUUAUAUUUCCCUUUAUAAAAAAUCGCAUGACUUCGUCAGGCAUAUGCACAUAUAUACUUAGUAUCAGCUCAAACUACACUUGGAUUUUUUGUUUUCACCAAAUCACUGAAUUUUUUGAAAAACGAUGAUUUACAUGGUAGGUCAAAAUGAUAUUCGAUAAGCUUAGGAGUUCCCAGGAGAAACCCUUGGAUUUAGGUGUGAAGCUGAAGAACUACAAGGUCAAGAAAGCAGCAGGUCUUACGCCCCAAACUGCAAGGGCUCGAAGUGGAGCCAGAGAUGA
RNAcentral lists this long non-coding RNA (1371 nucleotides) under Triticum aestivum (bread wheat). RNAcentral's name for it is "long non-coding RNA (TAES_LNC027231)". The record is from RNAcentral. Lineage: Eukaryota; Viridiplantae; Streptophyta; Magnoliopsida; Poales; Poaceae.